RNAcentral lists this ribosomal RNA (462 nucleotides) under uncultured bacterium. RNAcentral describes it as "partial 16S ribosomal RNA". It matches the Rfam family "Bacterial small subunit ribosomal RNA", at positions 29 to 523 of the family's 1533-position model. The record is from RNAcentral.
AAUGAACGUUGGCGGCAUGGAUUAGGCAUGCAAGUCGGGGGAAUCCCAGCAAUGGGGGAACCGGCGUAAGGGGCAGUAAGGCAUGGGUACCUACCUUGGGGUUCGGGAUAGCCAUCAGAGAUGGUGGGUAAUACCGGAUGACGUCGUGAGACCAAAGAUUUAUCGCCCUUAGAGGGGCCCAUGUGAUAUUAGCUAGUUGGUGGGGUAACGGCCCACCAAGGCGAAGAUGUCUAGCGGGUGUGAGAGCACGACCCGCGCCACUCGCACUGAGACACUGGCGAGACACCUACGGGUGGCUGCAGUAGAGGAUCUUCGGCAAUGAGCGCAAGCUUGACCGAGCGAUGCCGCGUGAGCGAUGAAGGCCUUCGGGUUGUAAAGCUCUUUAGUGGGGGAGAAAAGCCGCAAGGUGUGAUCUAUCCCAAAAAUAAGCACGGGCUAAGUUCGUGCCAGCAGCCGCGGUAA